CUCGGUUCCAUCUCCACCUGCCAUCUGUGGGUCUUCCCAGGACCGUUCCAUAAGGUUGCUCACCUCUGGGGCUGGUUGGACAGAAGAGGGUAGGGUGUCCAGGUAAUCCUCUGGACUGAGGGACGGUGAUUGGGCUAAGUUGAACAGGCGUCGGUAGCUCUGCUCCAGCCCCCACUCCAUUGCGACCAGAUGACUCAGGUCUGGCCCCAGGUCGUCCGCUCGGGGAAGAUCCAGCAGGGUUUCCCUGAUGUUGUGGAUGUCCCAGAACUGAAACUCUGUGGGGCAUCCAAAGUCAUCGCCCUCCUCAUAGGCCUCCCACAGUAAGCCUGGGCCAUUAUAAUC
Pelobates cultripes (western spadefoot toad) is the source of this 342-nucleotide non-coding RNA. Lineage: Eukaryota; Metazoa; Chordata; Amphibia; Anura; Pelobatidae. The record is from the annotation of a GenBank genome assembly.